Molecule: ribosomal RNA, 253 nt
Filed under: uncultured bacterium
Lineage: Bacteria
Description: partial 16S ribosomal RNA
Rfam family: Bacterial small subunit ribosomal RNA
Source: RNAcentral
UACAGAGGUCCCAAGCGUUGUUCGGAUUCACUGGGCGUAAAGGGCGCGUAGGCGGCUCAUGAAGGCUGUGGUGAAAGUCCGGGGCUCAACCUCGGAUCGGCCGUGGCGACUCGUGGGCUGGAGCACUGUAGAGGCGGGUGGAAUUCCGGGUGUAGCGGUGGAAUGCGUAGAGAUCCGGAGGAACACCAGUGGCGAAGGCGGCUCGCUGGGCUCUACCUGACGCUGAGGCGCGAAAGCGUGGGGAGCGAACCGG